RNAcentral lists this long non-coding RNA (297 nucleotides) under Gossypium barbadense (sea-island cotton). Its description in RNAcentral is "long non-coding RNA (GBAR_LNC019424)". Lineage: Eukaryota; Viridiplantae; Streptophyta; Magnoliopsida; Malvales; Malvaceae. The record is from RNAcentral.
GAGGAUCUAAGUCUGGUUCAAAUCAAGAAGCAGAUGUUACUCUAGUUGCAAUCCAAGGUACAACUAUUGUAGAACAAACUAGAUUGAUUGAACAUCUUGAUGCAGAAUUCGCUAGCAUUGAUAAGCUAAUGAAAUUUCAAAGCAAAUAGAUCAAACUUCUGAGUAACCGAAAGAGUUGAGUUAUUCAUUUUAAAGCAAGUAUCCUUUCUCAUGGAACAUAACCUUCUUUCAAUUUUUUGUCCAAAAAAGAGGGAGAUUUGAGCUACAAUAUUGAACUUUGGUUGUAUAAGAUUCGAG